GGCCUCCUGGUACUUCUAACAGGCUGUGUUCUUACUCAGUCUGUAUAGAAGGAGGAGGCAAAAUAAACCUACCCCAUACACACCUCAGCCCCAGGCCUGGAGCCUGGACCUUAUUGUGAAUGCAGACACAUGG
Castor canadensis (American beaver) is the source of this 133-nucleotide small nucleolar RNA. The record is from Ensembl. NCBI's taxonomy places the organism in Eukaryota, Metazoa, Chordata, Mammalia, Rodentia, Castoridae.